Long non-coding RNA from Chenopodium quinoa (quinoa), 1078 nucleotides. RefSeq lists it as uncharacterized. The transcript has 3 exons. The record is from RefSeq and is a predicted model, not a curated record. NCBI's taxonomy places the organism in Eukaryota, Viridiplantae, Streptophyta, Magnoliopsida, Caryophyllales, Amaranthaceae.
UUUCGCUUCCUUUUGGUUUUGAUUUUGGUUUUUUUUUUUUCCUGUUCUUAAUUUUGAUCUUCGUUGCGAUUGAUGAAUUGUUGGUUGAUUUUGUUGUUGUUGUUUUAGGGUUGUCGAAUCUGGCUGUGUUAUUCAUGUGUUAUUGGAUUGAUUUUUAAUGGAUUUACUCGUGAAUUUGUUCUAUGUUUGAGUGAUUUUUGCCAAUUGAGGUUAAUUGGAAGAAAUUAAGGGUUUCUUGAUUUCUCGAGGCUGUUUGUGGAAUUUUGGGGGAAUUGGAGAUGGAUAGGGGUUGCGGUGGUGGUUUCGUGGGUGCGGUGGUGGGUGUGGUGCGGAGGAAUUAAAAUCUCUCAAACAGAUUGGGGCCUCUUUUGCUUUGCAGAUUCUCAAGGAUGAUGAAGGACCUUUUAAUUUGGCUAUGGCUCAUUUGAAGUUGAAUGGUGACAAAAGACUUUAUGGAACUUUUCAGCCUGUUGGGAAUGAUGACUCUCAGAAUGUCAAGGGAAUAUCGAUGCUUGCUCGUGACCUACAAUCCCCACGAGCUCUAUUGUCUUGUAUGAUCAAGAUGGAAAAUUUGUGGGGGUUCGAUGACCAAACUCGAAACUUCCAAUUGACAUUGAUGGGAUAAAAAUUGAAAUUCUAGAUGCCAUAGGAAGUACAUGCCUUGAACUAAAAACUGACCCUGGAGUGCCUGUUGUAUAUGCUGGAUUUGGUGCUCUGAUGCUCACAACAUGUAUCAACUAUUUAUCUCAUGCACAGGUGAUUUUCUGAGCUCUUGAUUAUCACUCUUCAAGGACUUGUUACGCAAUUGCUACUUGGAUAUACUAGUUCAUAUAUUGAUAAAUGCCCUUUUCACAUAUGUGGCUAGCUAUCAUAUUCAAUUAGAGAAGUUUCUACUACUUGUAAAAGCAUUGUUUCUUAUCGGAAAAAUAGGAUGUAGUUGCACAUGUCUUGAUGUUCCUAUUGCUUUCAACCCGCUCUCUCAUUUGGAGUUCAAAUACUCAACAAACACUACAAGAAAACAGCUUGAUUCCGACGGAAAAAAUCCGUCGGAAACAUCGGAAAUUCCGUCGGAAAAUGG